RNAcentral lists this ribosomal RNA (463 nucleotides) under Streptococcus sanguinis. RNAcentral describes it as "bacterial SSU rRNA". It matches the Rfam family "Bacterial small subunit ribosomal RNA", at positions 28 to 474 of the family's 1533-position model. Lineage: Bacteria; Bacillati; Bacillota; Bacilli; Lactobacillales; Streptococcaceae. The record is from RNAcentral.
GACGAACGCGGCGGCGUGCCUAAUACAUGCAAGUAGAACGCUGAAGAGAGGAGCUUGCUCUUCUUGGAUGAGUUGCGAACGGGUGAGUAACGCGUAGGUAACCUGCCUGGUAGCGGGGGAUAACUAUUGGAAACGAUAGCUAAUACCGCAUAAAAUUGAUUAUUGCAUGAUAAUUAAUUGAAAGAUGCAAUUGCAUCACUACCAGAUGGACCUGCGUUGUAUUAGCUAGUUGGUGAGGUAACGGCUCACCAAGGCGACGAUACAUAGCCGACCUGAGAGGGUGAUCGGCCACACUGGGACUGAGACACGGCCCAGACUCCUACGGGAGGCAGCAGUAGGGAAUCUUCGGCAAUGGGGGGAACCCUGACCGAGCAACGCCGCGUGAGUGAAGAAGGUUUUCGGAUCGUAAAGCUCUGUUGUAAGAGAAGAACGGGUGUGAGAGUGGAAAGUUCACACUGUGACG